GGCUGGGAGGGAGAGAGUAAGCUGGCUACUCUUGCUACUCAGAAGGAUGGCAUGAGGUGGCCAUGGUCAGUCUGCUACAGCAGCACAACAUCCUCCAUCAUUGUGGGACAGGACUGUGACGACAACAUCCUGGUGUUCAGAGUGGAAUAGUGUGUACAUUUGCUGCUGAGUCGGGACAACGAUGCCGAGGAUGUGGGGGACAAGCAUGACGCAGAAGGAGAGCACCAGCAUUGAUAUCAAGUUUGCCAAGCAACAGCACAAGUCCGGCCUGCAGGAGCCCAAAUACAGAUCCAUCCUUUCCCUCCCCUGAUCCCUAGCUCCUCCCACUGGACCUCCGGCCUCAAAGGGUCAGCAUCAUAAAACAAGUCUGUUCUGCAAUAAAUCCUCAGCACGUAAAGUUUUCAAGCGCUGUUAUGAACAACCAAAAUGUCCGUGUCGAGAUUUCCCCAAGCAAGCCCGAGUAGUUUUGUUAAGCUCUAGUGCCCGAGUGGGAUGAGUGUUACAGAAGCGAAACGUUAUAGCAGUACUUAUGGUAACGCUAAUAGUGAACGCUAACAGUUAGUUCUCGCUGUGGACAUCACGAAGAAUCUCACGAAGAAUUAAACGUUGAAUAAUUUGUUUCAUUCUUUAUAAGACAGCUAUAUAUUCAGCGAGGAACGAGAGCAAAUCAAGGAACAAUCGAAACGAUUCAUUCAGAAGUGUAUCUGCUGUAGAUAGUUAGGACAGUAGUAGCGUUACGGACUGUCCUCAGUGCACAAUAUAUUCAUGUGGUGCGCCUCAGCGGCGAAUUUCGCCCAUUAUUGAAAACAAGUUGCUAAAAGUAAACACGUCCGGUUUUGUUAUGAGCACUUUGCACUCCGAGCCCAAAGGGCAUUGCAUUAAAUUGAGACUAAAGAAGGCUAAAAAACAUGACACCAGUUUUGUUGUAUGAACCAGUACGCCCUUCGACUCUCAACUCGAAGUUAAUCCGAACUCAAACUCGGCCCUUAACAAUAUCCGCGAGGCCAGCAUAUCAGCUCAGCUUCUGAGCUUCAGCAAACACUAUAAGCUGCCAAGAUAAAAACAUCGUUGAAGUCUAAGUCGAUGACAAUCCUGAUCCCUUCGCUUAAGUAAUUGAGCACAAAAACGUCUUGCGUCAGAGUAGCAAGCCUCCAAACAUCUUCUCCCAUGUUGGCUACAUCAACACUUCUUACAGUGGAGCCUUGGCGAGUUUGACUUCCAUCCCAGCAUCGAUGUUGCUUAGUAACAAUUCAAUGCUGGGAAUCGACAAAUUGUUCCAGACGAGUCGCUUAAACAGAAACUAUCUGAUCCAACAGAUAGAGCAGGCGUUGCGUGACUUAUCCCUUAUUGCGACUGACCUCGAUAAGUUGCCCUGGAAUAAUUUGAACCUUAUGCCAGUAUGCAGUUGACACCAUUUAACAACAGUUGUUGUUGAGAAUUCCCGGGUUUGAGGUGGCAACUUUGGUGUCGGGACUCCAUCUCUGUCUAUGGCCCGGUCAAAGCAGCAGCAGCAGCAGCAAUAAGGAAAACAAGUAGUAUCUGAGCGGUGCUCUGGGAUACGGGGUUUCAUGUAUGUGCUUAAAGUGUCAUCCCAGAUUAGCCUGUGCAGACUGCACAUACAUUAAGACAUAUUAAAGUGUCAUCCCAUAUUAGCCUAUGCAGACUGCACCUACAUCAAGUCCUAUUAAAGUGUCAUCCCAGAUUAGCCUGUGCAGACUGCACAUACAUUAAGUCCUAUUAAAGUGUCAUCCCAGAUUAGCCUGUGCAGACUGCACAUACAUUAAGUCCUAUUAAAGUGUCAUCCCAGAUUAGCCUGUACAGACUGCACAUACAUUAAGUCCUAUUAAAGUGUCAUCCAAGAUUAGCCAGUGCAGACUGCACAUACAUUAAGUCCUAUUAAAGUGUCAUCCCAGAUUAGCCUUUGCAGACUGCACAUACAUUAAGCCCAAUUUUCCCAGAAUGAGACUCGUAUACUUCACUUUACAUCAGUAUUUUAUGUGCCUGAAAAGUUCCUAGCAUAAAAUGGGAAUUAUGUGCUUUUGCAUUGAUCACACUUAAUAAAUGAAAUGCAAAUAGCACUUGAUCUGAUAUCAUUUUUAAUCAUAAAAGGUAAGGGCAUUAAGUUUUGUAUAAUUUCAACCAAAAUUCAGCCCCUGAACCAAAAGUUUAUCCUUGCAUAAAAAUCUGCUUUAAUAGAAUUGUUAAAUUAUAUUUAAUUUUAGUAAAAUAAUUAUGUAAAAGCCUGCAGCUCAUUUUAAAAGUCUUUUCAUCAUUUAUUUUCAAUGUUUAUUUAAAUUCUUGGAUUUUGUUUUAAGAGCCUGUUCCUACAGGAACCCAUGCAAUCAUAGAUCGGUACCUAGCUGAACAACAGGCUGUCUAGUCAGCUGGGCCCAGACGCCCAGUGACACUUCCUGGCCCAGGACCUUGGGGCAAAUGCUCAACUAUACCUACCCGCAGGGUGGAGCCACUCUGAACCUGGGGCUCCAUACUUCUUGGCCAGGGGCCAAGAUUACCUUGUCAAUAAGGUACAUGUAGAGGUCUUAUGCUCACAAGUUCAAGCCCAGUAGCGAUGUUCACAUUAUCAAACUCAGCAUCUCAAUAGAAACCCUGAUAUCAAAGCGUUGAGCUUGUUCUUGAAGCAUUUGCACCAGCAACAGUCAUCAUAUCGAGUUACUGGCUUCUCUAUGGUGUGGAACCCUCCGUCUAUGAACAUCAUAACAGAACAUGAACCAGUGGCAGUCAUCAUCUCAAGAUUCUGGUGUAUCCAUGGUGCAGGACCCUCGUUCUGUAAAGGUCAUGCAGAGCGAACCU
Long non-coding RNA from Dreissena polymorpha, 2811 nucleotides. RefSeq lists it as uncharacterized. NCBI's taxonomy places the organism in Eukaryota, Metazoa, Mollusca, Bivalvia, Myida, Dreissenidae. The record is from RefSeq and is a predicted model, not a curated record. The transcript is spliced from 6 exons.